Molecule: long non-coding RNA, 545 nt
Organism: Raphanus sativus (radish)
Lineage: Eukaryota; Viridiplantae; Streptophyta; Magnoliopsida; Brassicales; Brassicaceae
Exons: 4
Source: RefSeq, a predicted model, not a curated record
CUGCAGGUGUCAAGUACUUUUUCCAUCUUAAACCCCGGUACCGUUCAUCAUUCGGGUCUGCUUCCAGUUUUGAAAGAAUUAACUGAGAUAUCAUUUGAUGGAGGCGUGAUUAAGAAGAUGAGUGGUGGUGCUGACAAACGAAGUAUCUGCAUCCUCAAAGGAAGUGCUGAUGUUUUGAGCAGGGACUUUAGUUUGAGCAAGACCAUGCUUCUAAAUCAGUUGCAGUUUGAAAGCGGUGAUCCAGAGACUCUUCUCCGCUAUUCUUUCUUUCAGUUUCAAGCUGACCGUGCUAUCCCUGAUCUCGAGAGCUGUUUAUCUCGAUUGCAAAAACGAUGAGAGAAAGCCACAAUCAUUCGGCACUGAGGAGCAAGACACGAAGUUCGAUGAAUUCAGAAGCUUAUAUGUUCAUAGUACUACUUUUAUUAGGACUUAAAUGUUACUGGUCUCCUUUUCUUACUGUAGUAUUUCUUUCUCAUCUACACAAACACAAAUGUUACAUGGGAUCUUUGAAUGAAAUGAAAUACACUCUAUUAUUUUGGUGAACA